Long non-coding RNA from Mauremys reevesii (Reeves's turtle), 2213 nucleotides. RefSeq lists it as uncharacterized. Lineage: Eukaryota; Metazoa; Chordata; Testudines; Geoemydidae. The record is from RefSeq and is a predicted model, not a curated record. The transcript is spliced from 3 exons.
GUUGAGUUGGGGUCAUAGAGCUGUAAGCAAUAGGAAGUGCUUGUGAGAGGCUCAGAAGUUCUUCAUGAUGAUGACUUAGAGAUAGUUUCUCCAACCUAUAGAGAAUGAUUCUGACCUUGUCUUGAAGUGUCCUAUAUUUGAAGACACUGAUGUUGGGGGUUUGAGUCUUCAGAUGGGAAGGAAUAAAGAACAGCUGUAGCAUGAUGCCAGAUGAAAUGCAGAGCCAGAGAAGCAUAAUGAUGUGCAAUGGAAACCAAAGAGAAAUUCACAUAAUGCACAGAGGCUUUAUCAAUGCACUCAUCCUCCCUGGCCCUCCUUUAUUCCAGAAAUCAUCAGCCCUACACUGUGCUUUGAUUAUUACUAUACAGUAGAUAAAGAACAGCCAAAAAGCACAUUGUUAGCAUGAUUUCAGUGAGGAAAACUACAACUGUAUAGUAGAUUGUCCAUCACACCUAUCAAUCACACAUGCAUAUGCUUGCUGUAUGAAAGUAAUUAAGAUGUAAAUAAUUAUUUCAUGAAUACUUUAGAAAAGGUUAACUGGGAAGAAUGGAAGUCUCCCCCGCCUCCUUUUCUUUAGCAGGACAACAUGAAGUUUAAAAGUAAGAUACUUCUUUGUGCAACUAACAUUCAUGUCAUUUACUGAGCACAAAACAGCAGUCAUUAGAAAGACCUGUCACAUUAUCAAUACCACAUCACUGUGAAUGGGUGUAGUUUUGUUGAUACUCCACAGCAGGAGGCUUGUACUGAUGGUGUAGAGUAGUGCAAAGGAGAUCAGGGUCACAAUCUGUAUAUUUAGAAAAUUAAAAGUAAAUUCUACUUUUUAUUUAUUUGGGUUCCUUUCAUAUCUGCUAAAACAACUGUUCCACUAUAUUUUUAAAUGCUUAAUUGAAUUUGCAUUACAACCAGAAUGUUAAAUUGUCUUCUACUGCCAUAAUACUGAAGGAGAGUGAUUGUGCAAACACAUGUUCUCCUACAGAGAUAAAUCCUCCAAAUGCUAUUGGACUGCAGUGGAAUUUUCUAGCACAGUAUUAUAGACCCUACUGUGCCAAAUCAUUGCAGAUUGACAGUAAUCUGGCACAGUGAGGUCUAUAAUACUUAGUCCUGACUUGAGUGAAGGACUAAGACUAGACUACACUAGACCGCUCAAGGUCCUUUCCUCUCAAAGUCCUAUGAUUCUAUGAAGCAAAUGUAACAGUUCUGAUUACUAAAAGUAGUGUCUAAUUUUGAAGAUACAACCACUUGUGGGUUCAAAUACAGAGGAUUAACUACCAGAUUUGCAAGUACAACCUUUAGAUGGCUAAAUGCUAAUAUUUGCACCUUCAAUAAAUGACAACUGUAAAAUGGGAUGCAGAGCUGAGGUCCCUUACAAAACUGGCCCAAAAUGUCCUCAGCAUAGCUAGUCUCUGUGUAGCUUAGUUGGCAGUAUUCUUGUUUCAGGGCCACUUGAAUUAGCCUGAUACCCAGUACUGACAACUUACUGCAAUGAUAAUGUGGUUUGGGUAUUCAGAAGGAGGAAUCCUCCAAGAUACACCCUAAAAUUUAUAUCCCUUUCCUCAUAUAAAAUGCAUGGGAAGCUUACCACAAUAUAGUACUUGUCAACUAGGGGCAAGGUACACUGCUUCUGCAGAAUGUGACUUAACAUAUGUCUAAGCAGCAAAGAAAAAUCCGCAGCUAGCCCAUGCUAGCUGACACUGGCUCUCGGGUUGGCACCUGGGCUCUGGGACCCUCCCACCUUGCAGGGUCCUAGAGCCUGGGCUCCAGCCUGAACCCAGAAGUCUACACAGCAACAAAACACCCCCACAGCAUGAACCCCACAAGACUGAGUCAGCUGGCAUGGGCCAGCUCUGGGUUUUUCUUCACUGUGUAGACUUACCCUCAGAGCUCAGGAUUGAAAGUUGGAUCCCACAUGGGGCACUCUCCUUCUGUCACCUCUAUCUCUGGCAGAUGUUAAAGAUCCAAAGGCACUUUUAUAAAAGGGUAAGAAACAACUCCAACUGUCCUGACCAGCAUUCCCUAUCUCAGUGAAACAGGUUGUAAUAUCUAUGGCUUUGUCCAACAUUGUUAUAAGUACUCAAAAGUUUGUCUUGCCACGUUUGCCUGCAACAUCAUUGCACCACCAAUACCAUUAUUACAGUGUAUAUCACUUUCAGUUACCCCACAUAAAAAAGUAUGGUAAACUAAACUGUGUUCUGUCAUGUAUGCUGUAAAUAAUG